Molecule: long non-coding RNA, 1508 nt
Filed under: Homo sapiens (human)
Lineage: Eukaryota; Metazoa; Chordata; Mammalia; Primates; Hominidae
Description: non-protein coding lnc-H3F3A-2:1
Source: RNAcentral
GUUGUUUUAAUGCAAUUUACAUUAAAUCAAAAGUGAAUGAUGGCACCACUUCUGAGACUUGGUUGCUGAAAAGGAGCCUAGGGUUAGUGUAGCCUCUUCCCAUCCCUCCCCUCUUCCAACUCUACACAGUCCCUCCAUGGGGAGAAGGGAUGUUUGCAAAUCACCAACCUAAGAAAUGGCCAGCAAAUGAAGGAUGCCGUCCUCCCAGUGGGAGAUAACAAAUCCAAAUGCCACUGGGCUCCUGGAGGUGUCACCACUUACCUUUCAGAAAAGAAACAAGAGCAACAGACACCUCUGGGGAUGUCUACCUAAACUGGAACCAGUGACCCCUCUUUUCUCUAGCUUUCUUUUUAUUUAUUUAUUUAUUUUUUUUUUUAUUGAUCAUUCUUGGGUGUUUCUCGCAGAGGGGGAUUUGGCAGGGUCACAGGACAAUAGUGGAGGGAAGGUCAGCAGAUAAACAAGUGAACAAAGGUCUCUGGUUUUCCUAGGCAGAGGACCCUGCGGCCUUCCGCAGUGUUUGUGUCCCUGGGUACUUGAGAUUAGGGAGUGGUGAUGACUCUUAACGAGCAUGCUGCCUUCAAGCAUCUGUUUAACAAAGCACAUCUUGCACCGCCCUUAAUCCAUUUAACCCUGAGUGGACACAGCACAUGUUUCAGAGAGCACAGGGUUGGGGGUAAGGUCACAGAUCAACAGGAUCCCAAGGCAGAAGAAUUUUUCUUAGUACAGAACAAAAUGAAAAGUCUCCCAUGUCUACCUCUUUCUACACAGACACAGCAACCAUCCGAUUUCUCAAGCGGCCGCUUCCUGGGCGUCGGUCCAGUGCCCCGGCCCGGCCUGGGAGACCCGCACCAACCCCGGGAGGGAGGACGGGGCGCGGGCGCAGCCUAGGGGCCGAAGCACUGCACGCACGGCCGGCGCGGGGGCAGAGGGGAGACAGGGAAGCCUGAGCUCCGCGCUGCUGAAGGCUCCGGGGAUGGGUGGGCGGCGGUGAGGUAGUCUUGCCCGGGCCCUGCCCGCGUGGGCGCUUUCUGAGUCUCUGUCGCGUGACGGAGGCGGGACCUAGGCUGUGUCUCCUGCGGGGCGAAAGCACGGAAGAGAUCCGAGGGCAUUUCUUGAGCCUGGCAGGAGGCCAGGGGUUUUACAGGGCAGGAAGGAACCUGGAGGAACCGAGGAGCCACGUUGUUGGUUGGAAAGAAGGGUGGCCAGGUGGGGAGGAGUCUGGCAAAGGGUCCCAGACAGCAGGAAGGGCACCUGUGAAGCCGCUGGGAAUAGCCGCUCAUGUCGGCUGACGGAGCGGUGUGGGGCCGCCUCCGCGCCUUCCCCGAGCGGCUGGCCGCCUGCGGGGCCGAGGCCAAGAAGACGCUGGAGGGAGGCUGUUAGGAGGGACUCUGAGCUUCACACCUGUCUGCUGCCGUGGUUGCAGAGCCCUAGUCCUGAUGGCCCCCGAAAGACGGCCCUGCCUUCCAGGGCUCGCUAGAUCCUUGGUUCCUGUCGUGGAGGAGGUGGAG